UGCCUGCCCGGUGAUUGAAAAUUAAACGGCUGCGGUACUCUGACCGUGCAAAGGUAGCAUAAUCAUUAGCCUAUUAAUUUUAGGCUGGAAUCAACGGCAAGACGAAGGAAAAGCUGUCUCUUUACAUAAAAUUUGAAUUUCUUGUUUUGGUUAAGAAACCAAAAUAAAUUAGUGGGACGAGAAGACCCUAUUGAGCUUUAAUUUAAUAUUAGAAGGAGUUUUAGUAAAAGAUUUUGAUUGGGGCAAUGAUUCUUUUAAUAAAACAAGAAUAUUUUUAAGUGAAUUUAAUCUAGAAUGACCCAAAUGUUAGUUUUGGUAAAUAGAAAAAGUUACCAUAGGGAUAACAGCGUAAUUCUUUUUGAGAGUACUUAUUGACAAAAGAGUUUGCGACCUCGAUGUUGGAUCAAGUUUACCUGGAGGUGCAGCAGCUUCCAAGGGUUGGUUUGUUCAACCAUGAAAAGCUU
This 464-nucleotide ribosomal RNA is filed under the name Astrobrachion constrictum. Its description in RNAcentral is "partial 16S ribosomal RNA". It matches the Rfam family "Bacterial large subunit ribosomal RNA", at positions 1856 to 2597 of the family's 2925-position model. Lineage: Eukaryota; Metazoa; Echinodermata; Ophiuroidea; Euryalida; Asteronychidae. The record is from RNAcentral.